Anguilla anguilla (European eel) is the source of this 75-nucleotide small nucleolar RNA. RefSeq annotates it as small nucleolar RNA SNORD50. The transcript has a single exon. NCBI's taxonomy places the organism in Eukaryota, Metazoa, Chordata, Actinopteri, Anguilliformes, Anguillidae. The record is from RefSeq and is a predicted model, not a curated record.
GAACUGUGAUGAGUCCCAUUAUCCCGAAUCUGAUCCCACGUUGAUGAGCCAAACUAUGGAUCUGACUGCUGAGUU